This 3155-nucleotide long non-coding RNA is filed under the name Gallus gallus (chicken). Its description in RNAcentral is "lncRNA (ENSGALG00010025981.1)". The record is from RNAcentral. Lineage: Eukaryota; Metazoa; Chordata; Aves; Galliformes; Phasianidae.
UUUUACUUCAAAGGCAUUUCAGGCUGUUAGAAUUCUAAGCCUUACCAGAAAACUGGGGAGGUCAGCUUAAACCCAAGUUACAGAUUAAUUCUCUUUAGACUCCUUUCUCUCUUUACCACCAGCAUCCUAUCUUACUAACUUUGAAGGCCUUAUGCCUAUUAAAUCUUCCCAUAGUAAUAUUGCCAGUAUGUCUCCAGUCUUGAGCUACACUCCUGCUGUCCUAGGUCUUCCCCCUCCACCAGCUGCACUUUAUUUCUUGGGACUGCUGCGUAACAGAAAUGCUUUUGUGCUGCGAGAGGUGAGUGCCUUCUGGUGGGCUAUGCACACAGAGGAGACUGAAUAGAGCAUAGCUUCCUUGUUUUGUCACCCAACAUUUGUGCACCUGUAUGGGAACUGUUGAAUCACGGCCUGAACCUCUGAUUGACCACCUGAGGCGAGUGCUGAGUCAGCUGCAGAGGCACAGGUGAACACAAUUUCACCUGAGUGAAUUGGAGCCAGGCUCAACCCCUCCUAGACUCCACUUAAGGGCUGAUUCCCAAGAAGGAAGGACCUCUAUCUGGAGAUCACUCCUCUUGGAGCCCUUCUGUGAGACCAGGACAUGGAACAUGAUGUACAAACUGAAGAAACCUGGUCAUCAGCUGGCAAUUUCAGCUCAAAGGAACAUCUGAUUCCUAAAGUUACAGAACUUGUCUGAAAGAUUUGUUUGAAAAAGAGAAUGAACUACUCAAUGUCCCAGAUAUCCUCAACAGUGGAAUGUCUGGAUGCUUUCACCGAGAAGAUUCAUCCAUGGAAUCUUUUCAUUUCCAGGGGAAAAAAAGAAAAAAGAAACAACAACAACAACAAAAAAACAUUUAAACUGAAGAUAUUGCAGAGAGUCAUUCCCAAGGAGAUUAAUUAUAUUGUGACCUUCUCAUAAAAUCAGCCCUUGUUUACUUCAUGAUUCUCAUCUGGCCAACCAGGUAGAAUUGACACUUGGCAAUCUUCUGUUUGAGAAGAUUUUACAAGCUGGAGCAGACCGCAGCACAGAAGUAUGAAACACUACAGGUGAUAAUUGAAGGACAUUCUGGGGAGGAGGAGAAGGUACCUGGGGGAUCCAAAACAUGGAGUGCAGCUCCCCAGGGAGCCCACAUGGAGCACUGGAAGAAUCAGUAACCUGAGGAGAGAAACUCACUGCACACAAUGAAUGAUAACCUAUACUCAACAGUGUGAAAGAGCAAGAGAAAAGAUGGGGUUCAAAGUGCAACUCUACAAGAAGGGCAAGCUUCCAGCCUGAUAUGGCAGCAAGACAUCUCUCACUCAGGAUCUGCAAAAGCAACCUUCCCUGGUGUCAGGAUAUGAACAACCUUUCCUCAGCAUACCCAGGGGCUACCCUGCUCUCCUCAGCCUUGCAUGCUUCUAGGUGUAGCCAAAACUCUGCUUUGUGUAAACAGUAUACGUCAUUCAGUGUGUAACGGCACUUGUGCUUUAGGGUAGUAUCUUGCCUAGCCUCCAUCUGAAGGUAUGAACCUCCUCUGUUCCUGUGCCACAUGUCCCAGCCUCAUUCAGGUGUUUCAUGUCCCACCCAACUUGUAGAAACAGCAAGUUACUUGGGAUAGAAAUAUACAUGUGUUCAAGCAACUACGCAGAAUCAGUAGAUAGUUGAAAACAGUAGCAGUAGUCUCUUUUUGCCUCAGCUCCCCAUCUUCAGAACGGUGGUUAAAAUGCAUUAGUUAAUUCUUGAGAACCAUGGAUACACAGCAGUAAAAGCCCUGCAGGAUCCCAAAGAAAGGUACAAGUAGAAUCAUAGAGUCACAGAAUUGCUCAGGUUGGAAAAGACCUUAAAGAUCAUCAAGUCCAACUACAACCGAACCAUACAAUGCUAACUCUAACAACCCUCCACUAAAUCAUGUCCCUAAGCACCACAUCCAAACGGUUUUUAAACACAUCCAAGGAUGGUGACUCAACCACCUCCCUGGGGAGCCUAUUCCAGUGCUUAACAACCCUUUCUGUAAGGAAGUUUUUUCUGAUAUCCAACCUAAACCUACCCUGGUGCAACUUGAGGCCAUUUCUCCUCAUCCUGUCACCUAUGAGAUCAACUCCACUCUUGCUGUACGCACCUUUCAGAUACUGGAAGAGAGCAAUAAGGUCUCCCCUCAGCCUCCUCUUUCCCAGACUAAACAGCCCUAGUUCCCUCAGUCGUUCCCCGUAGGGCAUAUUCUCCAAGCCCUUCACAAGCUUUAUGGCCCUUGUUUGGACCUGCUGCAGCACCUCAGUGUCCUUUCUGUAUUGAAGUGCCCAAAACUGAACACAGAACUCAAGGUGAGGCCUCACCAAUGCUGAGUACAGGGGCAGGAUUUCUUUCCUAGUCCUGCUCACCACACUAUUCCUGAUACAAGCUAGGAUGCCAUUGGCCUUCUUGGCCACCUGGGCACACUGCUGGCUCAUAUUCAGCUGACUAUCCAUCAGUACACCAAGGCCCCUUUCUGUCAGGCAGAUUUCCAGCCACUCACUCCCAAGCCUGUAGGGUUGCCUGGGAUUGUUGUGACCAAAAUGCAGGACCCAACACGUGGCCCUUUUGAAACUCAUACAGUUCACCUUGGCCCAUCAAUCCAGUCUAUCCAGGUCUCUCUGUAGUGCCUUUCUCCCCUCUGGCAGAUCAACACUCCCUCCCAACCUGAUGUCAUCUGCAAACUUACUGAGGGUGCACUCAAUCUCCUCAUCAAGAUCAUUAAUAAAGAUGUUAAAUAGAAGCGGCCCCAGUAAAUUCUGUAUCUAUUCUAAGUGUUAUAUGAUAUACGUUAAAUAAUAACUUGAUCUGCACAUUGAGUGGAGGCUGAAAGGGAUCCCUGAGAAGCAGCUCACUCACUGAAAAAGGCAGGAUUCUGAGAGAAGAGGAAGGUGUGAUCAUCUAACUAAGAAACGUAUAAUUAUCUCUACACAAAUUGGGGCUGAACUUCAAGCUUAAAAGUAAUCUCAGUUCUAGUAUCUCUUAACUUUUCCUUGCAUAAUUUUGCAGCUUCAGUGUCUUUUGCAAAACGUGUUUCAGUUCCCUCCUGAGAGUAAGACCUGAACAUACUGGGGGGUAGCACUUUUGUCCCACACAGCCACUCCAACUACAAUGUGUGGGAAGCAGAGCCUGGUUCUCCAGUGCUUCAGCUCAGAAACCUUCCACUUGA